CCGACAUUUCGAAUUUAUGUGUGCCAAUUUGAUAACAACAACAAUUUCUACGACGUGUGAUAUACAUAGCUGUAAAAAGUGCAAAAUACAGGGAGGAUGGAUUCAUAAUAUAUCAUGGAACAUCGGAUGAAAUAGAAGAAUUAAUUCGUCUG
This is a long non-coding RNA of Mytilus californianus (California mussel), 152 nucleotides long. RefSeq lists it as uncharacterized. NCBI's taxonomy places the organism in Eukaryota, Metazoa, Mollusca, Bivalvia, Mytilida, Mytilidae. The record is from RefSeq and is a predicted model, not a curated record. The transcript has 2 exons.